CAGCAGCCACGGUAAUACGAAGGGGGCUAGCGUUGCUCGGAAUCACUGGGCGUAAAGGGUGCGUAGGCGGGUCUUUAAGUCAGGGGUGAAAUCCUGGAGCUCAACUCCAGAACUGCCUUUGAUACUGAAGAUCUUGAGUUCGGGAGAGGUGAGUGGAACUGCGAGUGUAGAGGUGAAAUUCGUAGAUAUUCGCAAGAACACCAGUGGCGAAGGCGGCUCACUGGCCCGAUAUUGACGCUGAGGCACGAAAGCGUGGGGAGCAAACAGGAUUAGAUACCCGCGUAGUCCCUGUCUCUUAUAC
This 301-nucleotide ribosomal RNA is filed under the name uncultured bacterium. Its description in RNAcentral is "partial 16S ribosomal RNA". It matches the Rfam family "Bacterial small subunit ribosomal RNA", at positions 509 to 807 of the family's 1533-position model. The record is from RNAcentral.